This 488-nucleotide ribosomal RNA is filed under the name uncultured bacterium. RNAcentral describes it as "partial 16S ribosomal RNA". It matches the Rfam family "Bacterial small subunit ribosomal RNA", at positions 28 to 507 of the family's 1533-position model. The record is from RNAcentral.
GACGAACGCUGGCGGCGUGCUUAACACAUGCAAGUCGAACGGAAAGGCCCUGCUUUUGUGGGGUGCUCGAGUGGCGAAAGGGUGAGUAACACGUGAGUAACCUGCCCUUGACUUUGGGAUAACUUCAGGAAACAGGGGCUAAUACCGGAUAGGAGCUCCUGCUGCAUGGUGGGGGUUGGAAAGUGUCGGCGGUUGGGGAUGGACUCGCGGCGUAUCCGCUAGAUGGGGGGGUAGCGGCGUAACCAGGCUUUGAUGGGUAGCCGGCCUGAGAGGGUGAUCCGCCACACUGGAACUGAGACACGGUCCAGACUCCUACGGGAGGCAGCAGUAGGCAAUCUUCCGCAAUGGGCGAAAGCCUGACGGAGCAACGCCGCGGGAGUGAUGAAGGUCUUCGGAUCGUAAAACUCUGUUAGUAGGGAAGAAAAUAUGUGUAAGUAACUGUGCACAUCUUGACGGUACCUAAUCAGAAAGCCACGGCUAACUACGUG